GAUGAAAUGAGAGAACUCAUUUUCACUCAAAGCGAUUAUGAUAGAACGGAAGAAGCCUCACCACCUCCAGGGACGUAACAAGACCGAGGAGCGCACAAAUUUUUUUAAGAAGAAGCUCCAGCAGAUGGAGGAGAGGAAAAUUAUCCACAACCAUCGAGUCCCAAAGCUGGCGGGGAACACGGAGCAGAGGUUGAAGGCGAAGUAGAAGCCUCCAGCCUGGUUGAACCGAUGCAGGAAUCUGUUGAUGCAUUAACCGUCAGGAGCAGACAGAACGGGAUAAGAGCAAAUUUUCGCCACAGGAGACUGAGGCUAGUUAGAGAGGCGGCUCAACGAAGGACGUCUGGAACGUGGAACCUUCAAGAAGACGGAGAUCUUCAACGGAUGGGCCUGGAAAUCUUCCACUGGAUCAUUCGAAAUUGUGAAUUACUUCUAAAGAAGUUGUAAGAUGAUGUUUUCUGCUGUUGGGUUUGUUGUUUUUCUGUUGUUUUUUUUUUUUGUUUGUUUGUUUGUUUC
Molecule: long non-coding RNA, 513 nt
Organism: Melanotaenia boesemani (Boeseman's rainbowfish)
Lineage: Eukaryota; Metazoa; Chordata; Actinopteri; Atheriniformes; Melanotaeniidae
Exons: 3
Source: RefSeq, a predicted model, not a curated record